This 479-nucleotide unclassified non-coding RNA is filed under the name uncultured Phomopsis. Its description in RNAcentral is "sequence contains ITS1, 5.8S rRNA gene, ITS2". The stretch from base 137 to 292 matches the Rfam family "5.8S ribosomal RNA". Lineage: Eukaryota; Fungi; Ascomycota; Sordariomycetes; Diaporthales; Cytosporaceae. The record is from RNAcentral.
CGUUUAUACGUACUGUUGCCUCGGCGCAGUGCCGGCUUUGAGCAUAUAAGCCCCCUGGACGGGAGAAGCCCGCCGGCGGCCAAGUAAACUCUUGUUUCUAUAGUGGAUCUCUGAGUAAAAAACAUAAAUGAAUCAAAACUUUCAACAACGGAUCUCUUGGUUCUGGCAUCAGAUGAAGAACGCAGCGAAAUGCGAUAAGUAAUGUGAAUUGCAGAAUUCAGUGAAUCAUCGAAUCUUUGAACGCACGAUUGCGCCCCCUGGUAUUCCGGGGGGCAUGCCUGUUCGAGCGUCAUUUCAACCCUCAAGCCUGGCUUGGUGAUGGGGCACUACUUCCUCACGGGAGUAGGCCCUGAAAUUCAGUGGCGAGCUCGCCAGGACCCCGAGCGUAGUAGUUAUAUCUCGCUUUGGAAGGCCCUGGCGGUGCCCUGCCGUUAAACCCCCAACUUCUGAACAAUUUGACCUCGGAUCAGGUAGGAAUA